UACGUAGGUGGCAAGCGUUGUCCGGAGUUAUUGGGCGUAAAGCGCGCGCAGGCGGUGCGGUAAGUCUCUGGUGAAAGCGCUCGGCUUAACUGGGCGAGGGCCGGGGAGACUGCCACGCUGGAGGGGAGCAGAGGCGAGUGGAAUUCCGGGUGUAGUGGUGAAAUGCGUAGAGAUCCGGAGGAACACCAGUGGCGAAGGCGGCUCGCUGGGCUCUACCUGACGCUGAGGCGCGAAAGCGUGGG
Molecule: ribosomal RNA, 242 nt
Filed under: uncultured bacterium
Lineage: Bacteria
Description: partial 16S ribosomal RNA
Rfam family: Bacterial small subunit ribosomal RNA
Source: RNAcentral